Molecule: small RNA, 77 nt
Filed under: Escherichia coli
Lineage: Bacteria; Pseudomonadati; Pseudomonadota; Gammaproteobacteria; Enterobacterales; Enterobacteriaceae
Description: isrK
Rfam family: isrK Hfq binding RNA
Source: RNAcentral
GCACCUCAUAAAGCGGGUGCCGGGAUUGCUACCCCGAUGUUCAUCAUGGCGCAUAACCGCGCUCAGGCGUUUUUUUU